ACAUACGACCAUAGGAAGUAGAAAAUAGGGCUUCCCGUCCGCUCAGCCAUACUCAAGCUACUUGCCGGCCGGCUAGUAGUUGGGUGGGUGACCACCAGCGAAUCCCGGCUGUUGUAUGUU
Ribosomal RNA from Coccidioides immitis RMSCC 3703, 120 nucleotides. Lineage: Eukaryota; Fungi; Ascomycota; Eurotiomycetes; Onygenales; Onygenaceae. The record is from Rfam.